RNAcentral lists this ribosomal RNA (521 nucleotides) under Amycolatopsis sp. A133. RNAcentral describes it as "partial 23S ribosomal RNA". It matches the Rfam family "Bacterial large subunit ribosomal RNA", at positions 1 to 476 of the family's 2925-position model. Lineage: Bacteria; Bacillati; Actinomycetota; Actinomycetes; Pseudonocardiales; Pseudonocardiaceae. The record is from RNAcentral.
GGUCAAGUUGUUAAGGGCACAUGGUGGAUGUCUUGGCUUCAGGAGCCGAUGAAGGACGUAGGAGGCUGCGAUAAGCCUCGGGGAGCUGUCAACCGAGCUGUGAUCCGAGGAUUUCCGAAUGGGGAAACCCAGCACCAGUGAUGUGGUGUUACCCGCACCUGAAUAUAUAGGGUGUGUGGAGGGAACGCGGGGAAGUGAAACAUCUCAGUACCCGCAGGAAGAGAAAACAACCGUGAUUCCGUGAGUAGUGGCGAGCGAAAGCGGAAGAGGCUAAACCGAUUGCAUGUGAUACCUGUCAGGGGUUGUGCAGUCGGUGUUGUGGGACCCAGCGUCGAGGAUCUGACAGUCCUCGGAAUGGUCACGUAUGUUAGUGGAACGCCUUGGGAUGGGCGGCCGGAGUGGGUGAGAGCCCCGUACGCGAAAACAUAUUGUUGAUUGUUUGUUUGGUGUUCCCGAGUAGCAGCGAGCUCGUGGAAUUUGCUGUGAAUCUGCCGGGACCACCCGGUAAGCCUAAAUACUUC